GUUUUAAUAGUAAAUAAUAAUACAUUACUUUUUCAAAGUAAAAUUGGCUUUGCCUUAAAAUA
RNAcentral lists this transfer RNA (62 nucleotides) under Deroceras agreste. RNAcentral describes it as "tRNA-Glu". Lineage: Eukaryota; Metazoa; Mollusca; Gastropoda; Stylommatophora; Agriolimacidae. The record is from RNAcentral.